CCAAUAAAUAAGGUUAACUCCCUAUGAUGGUAAAAGCAGGGAGGGAGAAAAGGGAAUGGCAGAAGGACAAAUGUAGGAGACCGAGAAGGUAGAGACAGAGUAUGAGGAUGGUCACGCCAUGGGGUGAAUUCAUACACCCACCCCCGUAUACCAGUAUAUGGUAUGAAAGUUGUUUUCCUAUAAGGUCCCUUGUGACUAUAGGGGAAUGUUGAUGUAACAGUUGGACGUGAGGGGGCUCAAAGGUCAUUCUGCCUAUGACCUCUAGAAUCAAUGGCAUAUGAUCACACAGUUAAAGCAGACUCCGUUUUGAUGGAUACAUGAUGUCAGAAACAUAAAUCUCCAAAUAUCUGAAAUAACUGGGGAAGCAGUGACAAGACUAUUAUGUAAAUUGGAUGCAAUACAAAUAAAUGGUAUACACUGAAAUAAAUCAUA
Molecule: long non-coding RNA, 432 nt
Organism: Hyla sarda
Lineage: Eukaryota; Metazoa; Chordata; Amphibia; Anura; Hylidae
Exons: 3
Source: RefSeq, a predicted model, not a curated record